GGAGGCUAAGCUGAUACGGGAAACCCGCUUAUCAGUAUGAAUAACUCCACCUCCUUCAAUGUGAAGAGAAGGUUAAGCCAUUGACGUUUUUCUGUAUUAUAUGCCUUUUUUCGAAGAAUGUUCACAUGCUUUAUUGUGAGCUUAAUAUUAUUCUUUGUAUGUUUCCUUUGCAUGUGGGAUUAUGAUGUUGUAUUCAAGAACUAGGCUCGUGGAGAGACCAAGACACCAAAACGGUUCAUCAACGGCACCAUCAGUAGUGAUAUCCACCGCAAGUUUCUGCGGUCAAGGUCUCACCUGAAGAUGGCCACUUCCUGCAUCUUUCUCAGGGCUCCCUUGCCGGGGCCAAGAAGGACGGCAAGGUGACCACAAAGGCACUGUUGCUGACGCUGCCACACAGGGAACUCUCGCAUUUUAGCCUCCUGGCAUCCUGGAUGGAGAAUUCGUCUAGUCCUUUUGCCGCCAGCCAGGGGCCAUGUUUCUCGGGUGGUGUCACAGCGUUUAAUCUACCUUUUAGUAGUAGCAACAACUACGCAGAGUAGGCUGAUCCUCUGGAUGGUGGCGACCUCAGUAUAGCUCUUGCUGGUGCUGAAUACCACGGCACCACCACAACCUAAGGCUCCCUGUCGCGGCCUAAAUGAAGUAUAAUGGCUGCUAAUAUAAAGAGUUAUAAAUUAUAGGUCCGUUGCAAGUGUGGUUCUCUUGCAUUAUUGAUGGUAGAUAUAUUUAGGUAACAAAUUCUAUGUCUACUCGGGAUUUGCAUGAUUUCAUUCAUAGAUAGUAUGCUUGGUACCCAUUACACGGUGAAAUAGUUGAGAUAAGAAAUGGAUGUGUCACAAGUUAGGAUCUCUCACUGCUAAAUUGAUUGGUGCAUAUUAUUAGGUAUUGCAUGUACUGUUACAAAUAAGGAUGGUCUCGAGGCUGGAUAUAUUUUGUUUUGAGGUCUUCAACUAGUUAAAUUGACUAAACCUAAACCCCUGUCUUCUCUCUGAUUUUCACAUGGAAGUGAAACUAUAAUUUAUUCAAACAUGCAUACACACUAGGUAUCUCAGUAUACGGAUUAGUAUUGGUAACCUGCUUGUUUGACAUGUUUGGAUGCUUGGUAUGUUUUUUUUCCGCCAUUAUGUUGAGAUUUCACACCUGUUGGGAACGAGCGGUACAAUUUUUUGCGUCUUUGUUGUGUUUAUGGGCAGUGGAGUGGUGGGAAUGAGGAUUCACUUAGUUGUGCGAAGUCACCUUCUGAGCUAAACUUGAACUUUUUGAGGCAUUAAUUCUUUCUAACCUACAAAACUUACUAGCUGGCAUUAGAACACAAACUUUUGGGUGCUUUUUUUAACUCAUACAUUAUGUCUAAUGCUUGGAGUCGUUCAAACUUGGUUUGGAAAGUUUUGGGAACAUAUCGCCAAAUUGCAGAGCAAAGAGGCUUGAUAAAGUAGGGAAUUUUUUUGCGUUGAAGAGAAGCAAUUAUUAAUGCAGUUCUCCGUGCUGCUCAGACUUACUCUACUGCAACGAACUCGAACAAUCCGCAAGAUAUACACUCCAUUUAUACAUUUACGUACUGUAAUGCAAAUCUGUAUUUAGGAAUGGCUCUUUCUUUGUAGGAGUAACUAAUAAUGUAGGACAUCUGCCACUACUGUAAAAACCAUAC
This is a non-coding RNA of Lolium perenne, 1645 nucleotides long. The record is from RefSeq and is a predicted model, not a curated record. Lineage: Eukaryota; Viridiplantae; Streptophyta; Magnoliopsida; Poales; Poaceae.